CUGCUAAUAUUCUCACUGUUCUGAUUUUGUAAUAAUCAGGGCAGGCUAAACAUUUGCUAAAUUAAGACUAGGCAUGUGUCCCCAGACCUAGUUCUUUACCUACCUAAGUCUGAUCUUAAAGGUGUUGGUGAUAAAC
This is a small nucleolar RNA of Sorex araneus (European shrew), 136 nucleotides long. Its record names the gene SNORA72. It matches the Rfam family "Small nucleolar RNA SNORA72". Rfam says of the family: U72 is a member of the H/ACA class of snoRNAs. Lineage: Eukaryota; Metazoa; Chordata; Mammalia; Eulipotyphla; Soricidae. The record is from Ensembl.